Molecule: ribosomal RNA, 482 nt
Filed under: uncultured bacterium
Lineage: Bacteria
Description: bacterial SSU rRNA
Rfam family: Bacterial small subunit ribosomal RNA
Source: RNAcentral
AUUGAACGCUGGCGGCAUGCCUUACACAUGCAAGUCGAACGGUAACAGGUCUUCGGAUGCUGACGAGUGGCGAACGGGUGAGUAAUACAUCGGAACGUGCCCGAUCGUGGGGGAUAACGGAGCGAAAGCUUUGCUAAUACCGCAUACGAUCUACGGAUGAAAGCAGGGGACCGCAAGGCCUUGCGCGGACGGAGCGGCCGAUGGCAGAUUAGGUAGUUGGUGGGAUAAAAGCUUACCAAGCCGACGAUCUGUAGCUGGUCUGAGAGGACGACCAGCCACACUGGGACUGAGACACGGCCCAGACUCCUACGGGAGGCAGCAGUGGGGAAUUUUGGACAAUGGGCGAAAGCCUGAUCCAGCCAUGCCGCGUGCAGGAUGAAGGCCUUCGGGUUGUAAACUGCUUUUGUACGGAACGAAAAGACUCCUUCUAAUAAAGGGGGUUCAUGACGGUACCGUAAGAAUAAGCACCGGCUAACUACGUG